Molecule: long non-coding RNA, 2195 nt
Organism: Marmota monax (woodchuck)
Lineage: Eukaryota; Metazoa; Chordata; Mammalia; Rodentia; Sciuridae
Exons: 2
Source: RefSeq, a predicted model, not a curated record
AAGACCUGAGCCCUGCCCCAACCCCGGUGAACCACACCAGCACAACACAAGGGGCUGUGGCCCUGGGUCUGGACCACUGGGGGCUGCGGAAGCGGUUCCUUCUCCCCUAAAGCAGCGUUCACCUGGAGGUAGGCAGGCGGCCCCUGGUGAGGAACAACACAGGAUGGUCUUACAAGAAACCUUCAGGCGCGCAAAACACUUAACAUAUGGCGCCAGAUGACUGCGGUCAAAGGGGGAAGGUGACCAGAAUUCCUGCUCCUGGCACCCAGAGGGAUUGUACGUGAAUUCCCGGUCCCUUCUGUGAGCCUGCAGGCUGCUCUGCUGUGGGUGAGUGGUGGCACAGCCUUCUCUCCUGGGGUCCUUCUCUGCCUCCCUUUACAAAUGAGGAAGGGGACACCCAGAGAGGAGGCCACGCGGGCGGGAGGAGAGCCUAAGCUGGUCUUCUGCAGCCCCAUGGGUCUUCAAAUCUUAGGGUGGCAUGACCCCACAGCCCCAAGGCUCAACACAGGCCUAGGUAGGGUACUCUACAGCCUUCUGUCUUCCAGUUAAAAGAGCACCAGGCACGCCUGUAAUUCCAGCAGCUGAGGCUGAGGAGGCUGAGGCUGGGAAUCCCAAGUUCAAAGCCAGCCUCAGCAAUUUAGCAAAACUCUGUCUCAAAAUAAAACCUAAAAAGGGCUGGCUCAGUGGUUAAGUGCCCAUGGGUUCUGCCUCUGGUACAAAAAAAAAAAGUGAGGGCUGGGGUUGUGGCUCAAGUGGUAGAGCACUUGCCUAGCAUGUGCAAGGCACUGGGUUCUAUCCUCAGCACCACACAAAAAUAAAUAAAUAAAGGUAUUGUGUCCAAUUACAACUAAAAAACAAGAUUUUUUUUUAAAAAGCGUGCCAAAUGAUACAGGAACUGUUAAAGCUCCAUCCUUGUCCCCAUGCCAAUCCAAUAACAAAGACAUGGUUUUGAGGAAAAGAAGUUUUAUUGCUUUCUAGCAAAGGAGAAGCACAGAGAACUCCUGUCCCAGAAGCUGUGAUUCUGCCCAUCAAGGGGAUCAGGAGGCUUUUAAGGAGAUGAUUCAAAAGCUUGUGUUCUCUGUUGGAGCUGUAAUUCACUUGUUAACUUGGGAGAUAGUCAUUUCUGAGAUCUUCUGGAACCAUCCCCAAAGUCUGAAUUACUUUGUUCCUGUGGUGUGUAUGUGUGUGCUCAAGGACAGGUAACUCUGCCUAGGAUGGAUUGCUAAUCCUGCUUCCCCCUGAGAUUAGGGAGAAGGAGCAAUUAGGGAGUAGCAGGGAGAGAAAGAGAAAGAAUGUGAGGAUGGUCUUGGGCCUGAGCCUAAGCAAUUCCAUUUUAAAAACUCCAGUUUGAAACCUGCAGUCUCACCACACUUGCCUAACAGAGCCCUCUAGUAUGGCUCCCCGGCACAAACAAGUCACUUCUCCCCACCCUGAUAAACUCAGAGUGAAGCCUCUGGAAAGCUGGCCUCCUCAGAUAGGAGGGAAAGACCUGAGAAAAGGUACAGGUGAAAAGAUCAGGGUGGGGACCACCAGGCCAGAUGUUUUAACCCCAGGGUAAAUGAUGUCCCUGAGAAAUCCCGUGGUAGCUGAUAAGGAUUGAAGAGGGGUCAAAAGCCCCAAAAUUAAGUAUAAAUAAUAGAGCAAAUGAACAGAUAUUCAGCCAGACGAAACUGAUGCCUACAAGCUGGAGAGCCUGAUGAGGACCUGGACUGACAUCCCAUCACCUGUCAUUCUUUGCUGAUCCCCUGCGUCUUCCUCACUGCUCUCCAACUCUACAGCCAUAUCUUGACCCUGGUGAGAGCCGUAACUUCUCCCUACAGCCCCCUCCUCAGCCAGCCGCCUGCUGCGUCCCAGGAGAAGCCUGCCUUGGUUCCUGACCUGAUCACCUCCGUCUGAGUGAGUGGGCAUCUGUGGACUUAGAGCCUAAGGCUGGAGACUUUAGACCUGGCACUUGAGCUUAAUUUGCAGAGGGAAUGUCUGUCAUUAGCCUGUCAUGAUUAAGUGUGUUUGCAGGCUUAGAAUUAAUUAAUCUAGGAUUGUUUGCUGUGAAUUAAUUAAUCUAGGAUUGUUUGCUGUGAAUUGAUUAUGUCUAUUGCAGUGCCCAGCAUUAAGGAUUGCCGUUUUCUUGAUUAAGAACCUACAGAGUGAAAUUGUAUUGAGCGAGUUGAGUGAAUAAAGCAUUGACUAGGGCAGAA